AACCGAUUCCCCCUUUUUUAGCUCCAGCCUUUGAUCAUGUGGCUGAUGAGUCAAGCCAGCACUUUGACUCGUCCCAUUUUGCCAGCGCGCGCGUGUGUGUGUGUGUGAGUGCGCGCGCGUGGGAGGGAGAUGGGAGCGAGCAAGAAACCUGUUGCAAGCUCUGACCAGCGCCCAGCUCCUCGUGCGAGGAGUGAGGGGGAGUCCCGAGCUGGGAGAGAGGAUUUCGGUUGGGAUCCGCUCCCUUUUCGGGGCUGGGGAGGGGGGACGAGGGGAUGGAGAGCUCGGAGGGGCUGGCACGGUUUUCCUCGGAGAUGGCUGAACGGGCUUCCUUCCUUCCUUCCUUCUUUCAGCAAUGGCUUGUUUGUUCAGCCUUGCUGAGCAGAUGGAGGAGGAGGAGUGGUUCAGCUCGCUGAAUAUAACUGUUUCCAAAGAAAGGCUUAUAAGCCGAGAUGCUUAGUGCUCGGGCGUGAAUUAAUUUGUGCUGCGCAGCAUUUGCUUUAAAAGCAAAUUAAAAAAGCAUUUUGUAUUCUCGGGCGUUUUCGAGGCUCCUAUCCCGAGCGCUGCUCCUCGCAGCUGCCUGCGGUGUUUUCCCUCCUCGAGCAGAUGGUCCUUGCCUUUGUCCCGUGCAGCAAAGCUCUGGCACCUCUCGGGAGCUGCCCCUGGAAGCUGUCCCGUGUACCUUGCCCUAAAAUCAGAGCGAGCACGGGGGAGACCUCGUUCUUAUAACGCUAAUUCCUGGGGGCGAGUGGGCACGCGUGGUUCUGGGGCAGUUUCUCCUUGGGUCAUGAUGUUUCCCCCUCCCAGGGGCUAAUUCUGCCGCUCCCUUUAUGGCUCAGUUCUCAUUUUUUAUUGAUUUACUCAAUAUAUACUCAAUUUAUUUACCCAAUCCUGCUCGUUUCGGGACCCCCGCGUUGCCCUGCUCUGAGAUUUUGCCUCUCACCCCCAAUUUCCAACCCCGGCAGCCUUUCCUGCUCUCUCAAUAACCACCUCCUCUGCAGCUCGGGGUGACCUGGACAUCUUCCUUGGACAUCUCUAUCCCAUCCUAUUUGACUUUGGCUUUUUCUCUGUUUUUUUUUUCUGUUUUUUCCCUGCCACGCGAGCCCCUCGGGGAGCUCGCUUUCCCCCGAGCCGCUGCCGUGCGCUGUUGGGAGGCAGUUGGCAGGCGUUGCUUAUAGAUAUAGAUACGUGUGUGUGUAUUAAAUAGAACAGCCCAGAAUAUCCGGCAGGCAGGGGUUCAUUCGGCAGCACCAGCUUUUCCAGGCCUUUUCCUUCCCUUCCCCAAAGCAGCACAGCAAUUUUCGUGCCAGCCGGGCGCCGGUUUUGAUGUGCCCCCCCGUUUAUGGAUCGUGCCGAUCCUCGACAGGCAGCAGAUCCUUGGAGAGCUGAAAAUAGGAAGCCCAGAGCCUGGUAACCUCACAAUGUCGGCCUCCGGAGCCCGCUGCAGGAAGUGGGAAGGUGCGGCACCGCCAGCGCCGCGUCCCGAGCCGGUCCGAGGGGAAGUGGUUGCGGGGAGAAAAUCUCCCACUCACGGAGAUCAGGCCACAAAAGAAGAGGAUAAAGAAAAGAAGAAGAAGAAAAAGAAAAAACAACAGCAUUUAUCAGCAUCUAACUUA
Molecule: non-coding RNA, 1613 nt
Organism: Anas platyrhynchos (mallard)
Lineage: Eukaryota; Metazoa; Chordata; Aves; Anseriformes; Anatidae
Source: RefSeq, a predicted model, not a curated record